GGAUUGAACGCUAGCGGGAUGCUUUACACAUGCAAGUCGAACGGCAGCGCGGACUUCGGUCUGGCGGCGAGUGGCGAACGGGUGAGUAAUAUAUCGGAACGUGCCCAGUAGCGGGGGAUAACUACGCGAAAGCGUGGCUAAUACCGCAUACGCCCUACGGGGGAAAGGGGGGGAUCGCAAGACCUCUCACUAUUGGAGCGGCCGAUAUCAGAUUAGCUAGUUGGUGAGGUAAAGGCUCACCAAGGCGACGAUCUGUAGCUGGUUUGAGAGGACGACCAGCCACACUGGGACUGAGACACGGCCCAGACUCCGUACGGGAGGCAGCAGUGGGGAAUUUGGACAGUGGGGGAAACCCUGAUCCAGCCAUCCCGCGUGUGCGAUGAAGUCCUUGGUUAGUAAGCUACUUUGGCGAGGUAACGAACGGCGUACGACCCUAAGUACGG
This 443-nucleotide ribosomal RNA is filed under the name uncultured soil bacterium. RNAcentral's name for it is "bacterial SSU rRNA". It matches the Rfam family "Bacterial small subunit ribosomal RNA", at positions 27 to 468 of the family's 1533-position model. The record is from RNAcentral.